GACGAACGCUGGUGGCGUGCUUAACACAUGCAAGUCGAACGGUGAAGCCCAGCUUGCUGGGUGGAUCAGUGGCGAACGGGUGAGUAACACGUGAGCAACCUGCCCUCCACUUCGGGAUAAGCCUUGGAAACGAGGUCUAAUACCGGAUAUGAGCGCCUGCCGCAUGGUGGGUGUUGGAAAGUUUUUCGGUGGGGGAUGGGCUCGCGGCCUAUCAGCUUGUUGGUGGGGUAAUGGCCUACCAAGGCGUCGACGGGUAGCCGGCCUGAGAGGGCGACCGGCCACACUGGGACUGAGACACGGCCCAGACUCCUACGGGAGGCAGCAGUGGGGAAUAUUGCACAAUGGGCGAAAGCCUGAUGCAGCGACGCCACGUGAGGGAUGACGGCCUUCGGGUUGUAAACCUCUUUCAGCAGGAAGAAGCGCAAGUGACGGUACCUGCAGAAGAAGCGCCGGCUAACUACGUGCCAGCAGCCGCAGUAA
RNAcentral lists this ribosomal RNA (480 nucleotides) under uncultured bacterium. Its description in RNAcentral is "partial 16S ribosomal RNA". It matches the Rfam family "Bacterial small subunit ribosomal RNA", at positions 28 to 523 of the family's 1533-position model. The record is from RNAcentral.